ACCUCUAGCCACACGGUGGCGUAGCCCGCGGGGUCAGAGGUCAGAGCGGCGCCAUGACGGAGCUGAGCGGAGCGCCCGAAGAUCCGUUUGGGAGGACUGAUUCUUCCUUCAGCGAUAAUGGCUUUGAUUCCGGGUUCUUUGCUGACAAUACUAGAAAAGGAAGCGUAGUGUCAAGAGCAAAUAGCAUUACAUCCAACACAGGCUCCACCAGUGCCUCCUCUGUACCUAACACAGCCGAUUGCAUGACAGACAAUGAUUGUUCUCCAACUGCAGAUGAUGAAGAUAGUGAUUACAGGCAGGAACUUGCCUAUAAAGAAACUUAUAAAGACCGACGGAGACAGGCUCACACGCAGGCUGAGCAAAAGAGACGGGAUGCCAUCAAGAAAGGAUAUGAUGAAUUACAGUCAAUCGUCCCUACGUGCCAACAACAAGAUUUCUUGAUUGGAUCCCAGAAAUUGAGUAAAGCCACAGUUCUUCAGAAAACUAUUGAUUACAUCCAGUUUCUGCACAAGGAGAAGAAGAAGCAAGAGGAAGAACUCUCCACUCUGCGCAAAGAUGUCAUGGCUCUAAAGAUUAUGAAGGCGAAUUAUGAAGCAAUUGUAAAAGCCCAUCGGAAUAAUCCUCACCAAGGCAAGGAUCAGGUGACUGAUCAGGUCAAGUUCAGUAUAUUUCAGAGCAUCAUGGACUCCCUGUUUCAGACCUUCAAUGCCUGCAUCUCUGUGACCAGCUUCCAGGAGUUGUCAGCUUGCGUCUUCAGCUGGAUCGAGGAACACUGCAAACCGCAGACACUGCGGGAGAUCGUGGCUGGGGUACUACAGCAGUUAAACAGUCAGCUGCAUUGAGUUGCCAGGUGUUUAUCAUUGCUGGACUGAGAGCAGUAUUAUACUCUGAAAUUUCUAGAAAUAUGAUAUCAGCUCUGAUAACAGUGAAAAAUUAAUAUUGAAGCAAACAACUGAAACAAUUUGCACUCUUUAUUCUAACUAAAGAUGUGAAUUGACGUUGAUGAUUUGAAAAUGUUCAGAAAAACAAAUAGGUUCAUUAUAAGGCCAUGAGAGGGACUUGUGGCAUAGUUGGUAGUGCCCCUGUCUCUAGGCCAGUAGGUUCACAUUCAAGUUUUACCUGACCUGGAGGUAUGUCAUUAAAAAAGUUAAUCAAUUUCUUGUAAGAUGUUACGGCGUUGUGCCCUUGAGGGUGCUCUGCCAUUUACUAAGAUCAUGGCUGAUCUUUGGUCUCAACUCUAAUUUUCCAACGUACUCCCAUGUAUCCUGAUCUCCUUAGAAUCCAAAAAUGUAGUAAUUACAGAUUUAAAUACCUUUAACAACUGAGCAUUCCAAGCCCUGUCAGCUUGAGAAUUUCAAAGAUUUGCAAUCCUUUGAAUGAAGAUGUUUCUCAUCUCAGCCCGAAAAAGAUCUGCCCUAUCUGAAACACUUCAGCCAAAGGAAAUAGCCUCAGCACUUACCUGCUGAAAACCUGUUCUGAUCCCGAAAGAGAUAAUUAAUUUUAAGAAAAAUUAAUUCCUAUGACGCUAGUGAAAAGAAAGGACAGGAUUUCACUUUACAAAACUUUAGCAAAUCAGAUUUUGUUAGCAUAUUUCAAACAUUAAUCGAUAGGUAAAAGACAUUUCAAAUAUGAAAAGGAAAUUUAAUUUUAAAUAUUUGAUACUGCAGAAACAAGCCCACACAAGCAUGGGAUUGUGUGCAAUCUCUGUUUUUCAAACUCGACUUCCAUUUUGUAGGAUUUCUUAUUUCUCUUCCAACUAUUUUGGCUAUUCAGUUUCAUUUGCUAGCAGUCUUAUUCCAUUUGAAGCCCCGUCAUGCGCACAGUUGCCAUAGCAGAGGCCUUUGCCUGUGGUCAGUUGCUCUAGGCAAGGCAUCUUGAGGUUUGCUACCACUUCGAUGAUAUGCCUGUGACGUCCUUUGUGUGUACAACUUUGUUUUAGUUUAAAAUCAUCUUUGUUCAAUGGUCAAAUAUACAAACAGAUCAACAGUGCACCAAUAGGGUCACCCAUCUUGGGACUAAUCUCAGAAGCAGUCAUUGCAAAGACUAGAACACACUACCUUCCGUCACAUUCAGCCUAAAUUGUGGAUUCGGUAUAUAGAUGGCGUAUUUGUCAUUAUUAAAUGCAACAAAUUAGGAUGGACCCACCACCUUAUCGACAGCAAUUCACAGGAAUUAAAUUUAUAAGGAAAGAAGAACAAGAAUCAACUUAUGUUUCUGGAUGUUAAAGUAGUGAUUCAUGAAAAGGGUGUUUCAAAUCCUCAACUUCUGCAGCAGCCAGUCCAAAGUCCACAACCAAAGCUGCAUUAGGAGACUAUUGAAACAGGCAAAGACAUACUGCAACACUCCAGAACUAAGCAGGAAAGAUGAAGAACACUUAUACGAGAUCCUGACUUUAAAUAGAUAUCCAUGCAACUUCAUCCACAGAUGCCUACAAAAUAGAAAACAGAAGGACACAGUAUGACCGAACACACUGCCCUACCUCAGGAACAUAUCAGAACUGACAACAAGGUUUCUCAGACCACUCGGAACUAUGGUGGCCCACAAGCCCGCAGCCACUCUACAGCAAACACUUACAAGGAUUAAAGACCCCAUUCCCACAACAUGCAGAACAAAUUUGGUUUACAAAAUACCAUGUAACGAUUGCCACAAACAUUACAUUGGACAAACAGGAGGGAAACUAGCCAUCAGAAUACAUGAACAUCAGCUAGCAGCAAAACAUCAAGACAAAUUUUCCUUCAUAUUGGUUCAUUCAGACAAUGAAGGCCAUCAAUUUAACUAGACAAAUGUCACCAUACUAGCCCAAGGCAAACAGGCAUGCAUAGGAAUUCCUAGAAGCAUGGUUUGACACACAUACUUCCAUCAACAAACAUAGAAUUGGAUCCCAUAUACAAACCCAAACAGAUCAAAACCAGAAAUAACAAGACUCACCAUAAUGGACGGGACAGUAUAAAUACCAAGCGGAGUAGAAUAACAUCGCCUCAUUGGAGGCUCCAUUGAUGAUGUCACCUAGCAGGGUGAUGAAAUGUCUGAACAAAAACAAGCCAGCUCGGCGAGCAAGUCAACAACCUCAAACAGUAAACUGUCAGAAACAUUUAAUAUUAUUUAGGAACUUGGUUCUAAAGUUAAAGUAAAAUUAAAAUUAUUUUUAUUUUGGUGAUGGUAUGACCUGUUUAAGAAAGAGGCAAAAGUCAGUUGGAAUAAUGAGUCGAGGAAGGCUUUGCCAAUAAAUCAUGUGACUUUAAAUGACAAAUUAAGUUACUGGGUUAAAUCAUAGCUAGGUGUUUACUAUAGUGAAAUGUCUGUGAUUUAUAGUGGCAGGUUGCCAGAAGCCAGAAGUAGAUUGAGUUUAGAAGAACAGAUUGGAUUGUGGAAGUCUUAAAAUGUAACAGUCUCAAAGUAGGCAAAGUCAAGAGAAAAGUCAGUUCACUUGCCUUUCUCUGUCUUGUGGAAGACAAAACAGAAUUAAUCCUAGUGAAUAUACAGAAAAUCACUGAAAGGAAACCUUUCAGAGAUCUUGCCAUUUCAUUUAAGAAAUUCUGAAGUGAAGGUCAGAGUGAUUCUUAACAGGAGUUGAGUGAGUUAAAAAACAUUGCUUGGAAAAAGAGUUGAAUCCUUUUUGCUGUUUAUGACAUCUUUCAAAAUUUCUUUUUGUGUAAUAAAUGUAUGUUCUUUUAUUUAAAGUACAUUGACAGCCUUGUGUAAAUAUAAUCAUUGACUUACCACUAUGGCAAUCAAAUUGCAAAACUAACAUUUGCAGUCUCUUAAGCCAGGUCUAACUCUGGAGUCAGCUUUAUCUGGUAUAACCAUCAGUUAGGAUCAUAAGUUACAUUCAGAUAGAAGCUUACAUGGUUCUUCUCACUAGAUUUAUCUGCUUUUCCUGUUUGGCAGCUUAGGACACUCUGUCUGAAACCUGAUCAGUUUAUCCCUAUGGCAGUUCCUGGUCACAUUAGAACACAGAACCAUACAGCACAGGAACGGGCCCUUCGGCCCACCAUUUUGUGAUAUGAUGCCAGACUAAACUAAUCCCUUAUGCCUGCCCUUGGUCCAUAUCCCUUCAUUCCUUGCAUAUUCAUGUGCUUAUCAAAGUGUCUCUUAAAUGCCUCCAUCGUUUGAUGGCUGAUUUCCUUAAUAUAUAAUUACAAGAAACAAUCAGCCCUGAUCAGAAUAUAAAAAGACAUACGUUUCCCAGCAUAUAUUGCUGUGUUUCAUAAUGCUAAUUUGAUUGUAGCUGUGCUUCCCAGAAAUCAGUUGAAUGAAUCCGAGGAAGGGUCACUGGACCUGAAACGUUAACUGUUGUUUCCUUCACAGAUGCUGCUAGACCUGCUGAGUUUUUCCUCCAGUCUUUGUUUUUCUUCCAGUCUUUGUUGCAUGCACUUUUAAUGGGCUCAAAUGAUGUCUCGUUCUGGACACACAACCAGGGAAAACAACCUUUCUGCAUCUAUCCUCUCAAGCCCUUUCAGAAUUUUAUAAGUUUCAGUAAGAUCAUCUCUUAUUCUUCCAAACACCAAUGGCUACAGGCCUAACCUAUCGAACAUUUCCUAAUAAACUAGCCUGAACUAGCUCUAUCGCUUCAUAGUACUCUAAUGCAGCCUCACUGGCACUUUGUACAUCUAAAGUAAAAUGUUCACACUUUUAUAAAAGCAGCAUAGCGUGAAUGAUUGAAAUCUGAAACAAAUAUAGAGAAUGCUGGUGAAGCUCAACUGGCCAGGCAGCAUCUGUGGAGGAGAAAACAGAGCUAACAUUUUGGGUCCGCUGACCUUUCCUCACAACUUAUACUUCUUCUGAACUCAUAGUUGAGUUCAGUUUGACUCUUAUGCAAAACUGAAAGAAUGUUCUGAAUUUUACAAAUUUUUUCUAAUUUGAUUUUUUCAUUUGAUUUAUUGUAGUCAUUUAUACCAGGUACAGUGAGAAGCUUUUGUUUUGCAAGCGGUACAGGCAGAUCGUAGCAAGCAAGGAUAUACAGAUCAUAGGGCACUCAGAGUGAGAACACAAGGUUAUGGUGGCACAGGAGAUGUGCAACAAGAUCACCAUUAGUGAGAUCAACAUUGUUUGAAGUUAGAGAGGUCUAUUUAGCAGUCUAAUAACAGCAGGGAAGUUGUUCUUGAACCUGUUAGUGUGUGUGUUCAAGCUUUUGUAUCUUCUGGCUGACAGAGGAGGUUGGAAGAGAGCAUUACCGGGGUGAGAGGGGUCUUUGAUGAUGGAAGCCUUUCUGCAACAAUGAGAAAUGCGAAUUAAGUUUGUAGAUGGGGACUUGGCUUCCCUGAUGGUCUGGGCUGUGCACACAACUUCCUGUGGUUUUUUGCCAUCCUGGGCAGAGCAGUUGUCGUACCAGGUCAUUAUGCAACCAGAUUAGGAUGCUUUCAGUGGUGCAUCUGUAAAAUUUGUUGAGGGACUUAUGGACAUGCUGAAUUUUCUAAGCCAUCUCAGAAGAGAUUGUUGGUGUGCCUUCUUGACAGUCGCAUCUACAUGGGAGGUCCAGGACAGAUCGUAAGUUAUCAUCAUUCCUAGGAACUUGACCCUGUCCACGUCAGCUCCGUCAAUGUAGGUAGGGGUGUGACCGCCUCCUUUCAUCUUGAAGUAAAUGAUCAGUAGUUUUGCUGACACAGGUUGCUUUAAUUGCACCACAACACCAAGCCCUCUGUCUCCUUCCUGUAUUCUGACUCAUCGUUGUUUGAUAUAUCCUACCACUGGUGUCAUCAGCAAACUUUCAGAUGGUGUUCAUUCGGAAUUUGGCCACACAGUUGCCUGUCCAGGGAAUACAGAAGGGGGCCAAGAAUGAAUCAUUGUGGGGUGCCAGUGUUGAGGAUUAUUGUGGAGGAGGUGCUGUUGUCUAUCUUCACUGAUUGCAGUCUGUGGGUCAGAAAUCUGAGGAUCCAGUUGCAAAGGGUGGAGAGCCAAGGCCUAUGUCUCAAAGUUUUGAGGUUAGUCUGGAAGGGAUUAUGAUGCUGAAGGUGGAGCUGUAGUCAGUGAGUAGGAGUCACAUGCAUGCCUUUCUUAUCCAGAUGUAUCAGGGAUGAGUGUAGGGCUGGGGAAUGGUAUCUGCUGUGGAUUUGUUUUGCCGGUAGGGGUCAAGGUAGGCUGCAAAAUGAGUUGAUAUGGGCAUUUACAAGCCUCUCAAAGCAUUUCAUGAUUAUGGAGGUCAGAGCCACUGGGGGUAGUCAUUUAGGUACGUUGCAUGUGUUUUCGUAGGUCUUGGGAUGAUGGUCUUCUUGAAGCUGUAGAGGACUUUGGCUUGUAACAAGGAGAAGUUGAAGAUGUCAGCUAAUACCUCUGCUAGCUGGUCAGCACAGGAUCUAAGUGCAUGGCUGGGGAUUCUGUCCGGGCUCAUCGCUUUCCUUGGGUUGACUCUCAGGAAGACCGAUCUGAUGUCUGCAGCGGUGAUGGAGGGAACAGGCUCAUCCAGGCUGUCAAGGCAGAAGACCAAAUCCUAAUUGUCCAGAGGGCAGUUAAGAGUCAACUACAUUGUUGUGGGUCUGGAGUCACAUGUAGACCAGACCAGGUAAGGAUGACAGUUUGUCUCUAAAGGACGUUAGAAAGUAUUAGGUUAAGCAAUGUCUAAUAUUAAAAUUCCACUUAGAACAUUGAGGAGUACAGCACAGGAACAGGGCCUUUGGCCCAGUUAAUCUGUUCUGCCUACUCUUGAUCCAGAUUCCGCCAUUCCUUGCUUGUUUGUGUGCUUACUUAAAAGGCCCUAUUCUUUCUGCCUCCACUACUACCCCUGGCAGCAUGUUCCAGACACUUACCACACUGUGUGUACAAUACCAGCUCCUCACAUCUCCUUUGAGCUUUCCUCCUCUCAUCUUAAAUGCGUGCCCUCUAGAAUUAGACAGUUCAACUCUGGAAAAAAGAUUGUUAACGCUAUCAAUGCCUCUCAUAAUCUUCAAAACUUCUAUCAAGUCUCCACACAGCCUGUGGCACUCCAGAGAAAAUAACCCUAGUGUGUCCAGCUUCUCCUUAUUGCUCAUACUCUAUUACAGACAAUAUCCUGGUAAAUGUCUUCUGUAGCCUGUCCAAAGCCUCCACAUGCUUCCUGUAGUGUAGCGAACAGACUGAAUGCAACACUGUUAAGUGUGGUGUAACCAAAGUUUUACAAAACUCCAACAUCACUUCCUCACUCUUGUACUCAAUGCCCCAGACAAUAAAGUCAAGCAUGUUAUAUAUACCUUCUUUAACACCCAGUCUACCUACGUGGCCACUUGUAGGGUGCUAUGGACGAGACUGCAAGAUCCCUCUGUACAUCAAUGCUGUUAAUUGUCCUAGAUUUUUUCAUAACAUUUGAUCUCCCAAAGUGCAACACAUCACACUUGCCCAGAUUAAACUCCACCUGCCAUGUCUCCGCCCAUAUCUAUUGCUGAUCUAUAUCCUGCUGCAUCCUUUGACAACCUUCUACACUAUACAUGGCUGUUCGGAUCUUUGUCAUCUGCAAACUUCCUAACCCAUCCAUCUACGUUUUCAUACAAGUCAUUUAUAUACAUCACUAACAACAGAGGUCCCAGUACGGAUCCCUGCAGAACACCACUAAUCACAGGCCACUAGCCAGAAAAUUGCCAUUGCACCACAACCCUCUAUUUUCUAUGGGCACACUAAUUCUAAAUCCAAAUGGCCACAUCACUCCGGAUCCUGUGCAUCUUAUUCUUCUCAAUAAGCCUACCAUGAGGGACCUUGUUGAAAGCCUUACUAAAAUUUAUGUAAACAAUGUCCAAUACUGUACCCUCAUCACUUCUUCAAAAGGAAAUCCAUCAACUUACUAAGAUAUGACCUGUACUGCACCAAGCCAUGCUGAUUGUCCUUAAUUUGGCCAUGCUUUUUCCAAAUGCGUGUAAAUCCUAUUCCUAUUUUCAAAUCUCUCCAAAGCUCAAACCUCCUUUUCUGUCCUUCAGCCUGGUAAGAUCUUCUACUAGGACCUCAGGGUUUCCCUUACAAAAUAAAAAACUUGUAAUUUUGGAAACGUCAAGGUGUUUCAGUUAACUUCAGUGAAUAUCCAUACUGACAGAACUAAAACGCAAAUUUUACGAUAUUUUAUUCUGAAAAAAAAACUAACGUGUUAAUAAUGCAACACAGAAAUCUGGAUCAGCUACAUGACAAAAUCUUUUCAAUAAGCAGAAAACCUAACAGUAAAAGUCUAUGAAAAGAUAAUGUAGACACAGAGUAGACCAGUGUUUUUAUUACCUGCCACCAGUCAUCUGCUUUGAGUCAAAUGAUUAGCCAGACUAUAUUUUUGAAGACUAAUGAGCCAAGCUCUGGUUCAAUAUCCAAGCAAGCAAAUUGCUCAUUUCAGAUUCAGAGCAAUUCUUUUGGCAUGCUAUAAAUAUGAAUUUCAGACAGUAGUGGAUCUAAUGCAUGGCAAAGUUCUACAAGCCAGAUGUCAUUCAUGUAGCAGGGCCAUGCUGACUUGACCAAAAUAAAAAUGAACUGCACUCCAUAAAGGAACUCUCCAAUCAGCUGCAAACAAAUGAAAUUCUGAGUGUGGGUGAGCAAGAUCUAGGUAUCUUCCAGUUGAAAUAAAAAAUAUUGCAAUAUCAUCUCAAAGUGACUGGAUGGAGCAACACUCGAAAAAGAACAGAUUUCACAGUAGAUUCUACAUUUAGUAGCCAAACAGAAGACUCAUGAAUUCCUUGUUGGAACAAAUUGGGCAGAAAGCAUCCUACAGUAGCUUUUGUAUUUACAUUAAACUUUGGUUGUAGUGCCAUUUUUUGUAAACUUUAUUCUUCAUAAGUCUGGCACAGUGACCAUGUGAUCUUCAUCUGUUUCUAUUCCAAUUUCUUC
RNA transcript from Stegostoma tigrinum, 8766 nucleotides. It is a transcript of the gene named MAX dimerization protein MLX, with no coding region annotated. The record is from RefSeq and is a predicted model, not a curated record. Lineage: Eukaryota; Metazoa; Chordata; Chondrichthyes; Orectolobiformes; Stegostomatidae. The transcript has 9 exons.